GGCAGGAUGGUAUAGGUGUAUGAUUCUUGCUUCGUGUGCGAGAGCUCCCGGGUUCAAAUCCCGGUUCGACUCA
Non-coding RNA from Parelaphostrongylus tenuis, 73 nucleotides. The record is from the annotation of a GenBank genome assembly. Lineage: Eukaryota; Metazoa; Nematoda; Chromadorea; Rhabditida; Metastrongylidae.